GCUCAAUGCCCAAGGGGGUAAAUAGCCGCUGUAUUAUGACGGUGCUAAGGUAGCGAAAUUCCUAGCCUUUUAAUUGGAGGCCUGCAUGAAUGGCUUGACGAGCGCCCUGCUGUCUCUCUUCCCAUGAACUUUUAAAUUAACUUUCGCGUGCAAAGGCGCGAAUGGCUGAGUUAGACGAAAAGACCCUAUGCAUCUUUACUGAGAGAGAAGAAAGUUCUUUAGCUUGGUUUAGCUGGGGCAGCUGAGGAAAAGGCAAAAUUUCCUUAAUAUAAAUCAUACUGGUGGGUUUAGAUCCAGGCUCUUUAGCGGGCUUGACAAGUAGAAAAGUUACGCUAGGGAUAACAGCGUUAUCCUUCUGUGGAGGUCUUAUCUGCAGGAGGGAUUGCGACCUC
This 392-nucleotide ribosomal RNA is filed under the name Pinna nobilis. Its description in RNAcentral is "partial 16S ribosomal RNA". It matches the Rfam family "Bacterial large subunit ribosomal RNA", at positions 1861 to 2527 of the family's 2925-position model. Lineage: Eukaryota; Metazoa; Mollusca; Bivalvia; Pterioida; Pinnidae. The record is from RNAcentral.